GAUUUGAUGGUUUCCAGCCCUGGCUCGGCAUUAGAACCACCCUUCUCAGGAAUAGACAUACUUGGAACUCCACCCCUGGGAAAUUCUGAGCCUGUGGAUCUGGGCUGGGGCCAGGAUCUGCCUGUUAAAAAUGGUCCUCUGGUUAUUCUGCUGUUGGAGGGUCUCAGUGUUUGUGAAAUCAAACAUAUGAUUGAAUGUAAGGUAGAACGUAAGUCCUUGAUUUCUCUGGUUUCUAGGGUUCAGUGAAGGGACAGAAAAGGCUGCUUGGUAAAGUGAUCUCUUCUAGGGAGGAUGCUUGGGGGGUCCAAGAGCUCAAAGCAUUUUCUCUUCUUAUCUCAUCUCUGCAUGUCCAGCCUUGCCCAUCGAAGCAGAUGGAACGGAGAGGAAGUUCACCCUGGCCUCCUUCACACUACCCCUGUGACCCAAAUGAUGAAACAGGACACAGAGAGGUUAUUUUUCCCAAAUCCAGUAAAGACGCAGAGCUGGAGGUUGAACCAGGGCUUCCGAUGCCAAUUCUGGAUUGCUCCUGGCUGUGCCAUGUUGGUUCUGUAUGCCAAAAUUCUUGGACUUUCUUGCUAUUGUUGACCCCCAGUGUCUUGCUAGAUGCUGCCUGGGACCGACACUGAGCAGAAUCAUGACAGGAGUGUCCGUGUCCCUAGGCUUCCCUUUUUGCCCAAUUGCCCUAUAUUGGUGGAGGCUCCAACCUGCCCUGCAAGAUGCUGGGUGCUCUUCUGCAUCUGACUUAUUCUUCCGCUCUGAUUUAUGUGAACUUAUUUCCAAGACGUGGUAAUUAAUCACCGCCUCAGCAAGGGGGAUCUGGGGGGGCUGACAAAGCACUGGAGCCCCUAUAGGAUUCCACAAACAUUGGGAUAAUCAAUAUUCCUAUUGAUAUAUUUAUUCUGGAUUCCCUGUGUACUUACUGGGUACUUGUUCUGAGUGCUCCUCCUGUGCCAGCUGCUGGGGAUGCAAUGAUGAAUGAAGAAGUGAAUCCAAACCUGGAAGUGGAUAUUUUUAAAAAAGUCCCAUCAUCAUUUUGGGAGCUGAGAUGUCCCAGUGUCACAAAAGAGAAUUUCUCAAUGAGGAACUGACCAGCGAGGGAGAAAAAUACCCUUUAAAAACACUUCCUGCUAGAAGUCAAAUGGUGGGCAAGCAAGAGUUGCACCAUCAAUGCAGCAUUCUUCUGGGUUCAUUUUCUGACUUUGGAAGAGGUUGGUUUCUACAAAUGCAGCGUUCUGCUCCCGGAUCACCAGCUUCCCCAAACUCUAGCGACAGGAGUUGAAACUUUCAGUGGAUCAGUUUGUGCAGGGCCUGUGCUGGCAUCAAAGGGUUGCCUGAUGAUGAAUCUGCAGGGAACGAGGAGGGAGGGAAGGGCUUCCCCAGUCGUGCCAGAGGCAGAGUGACCCAGGACAUAAUAAGUCAUGCAUUGCAUUCCUCUGCCACCAUGCAGACUUGUGGUGGCCAUUCCAAACCACUGGAGAGAAAUUCCAUUUUAUUCUUAGUGAUUUUUGCAUGGGAGACAGCUGACGUUCAGGUCCGGGCUCAUAAUCUUCCACUUUCGUCGAUCCUGCAGGAAGAGCGGGCUUUGGCCAAUGGCCAUUAACCUCCCGCUGCCUGGCAGACCUUUUGUAAGGCUCAGGGAUGAACGACAGGAUGGCUGAGGGAAUGGCCUUUGAGUUAGACCUCCCCCGACACCCCGGGGAGCCCAGGCUCUCCCCUCACCAGUUGUGUCACUUUGGGAAAGCUAUUCACCUUCCUCAGCUUCGGUUUCCAUAUCUGAAAAAGAGUACCCAUGCUCAUCUCAUAGGGAGUAAGUGAUACCAUGAUAGUACAGUGCUUGAGGCAUGCUCAGUGCACAGUAAGAGCUCCAGAGGAGGCUCCGUGCAUGCUGUGUUCAUGACGACACUACAUAUGCCCAGAUUGUGUUCACACAGGCGCAUGCCAAGAAUCCAUCAGCGUUCUCAGUCUGGGGGGGAGGUAGACAUGGGGUGUUUUGGGAAAACAAGGAAGAGAUUCCUAACUCACUUUCAGAUGUGUGUGUGUGUGUGUUUGUGAGGAUGUGUAUGUGUUGACUGGUGUGAGCAUAAGUGCAUGAGUGGAUGUGUGUGUCUGAGCAUAGGUGUGUAAAUAUGUGUGUGACAGAGUUGAGUGUACGUGGUGUGUGUGAAUGUGAGUACAGGUAUCUGUGUGAGGGUGUGCAUGUGUUGGGUGUGUGUAUGUGUGUGUAAAUGUAGGUGUCUACAUGUUGGGUUGAGCCUAAGUGUGAAUAAUAUGUGCGUGUGAGAGAGUUGAGUGUAUGUGGUGUAUGUGCGAGUGUGUAUGUAAGCGUGAGUUAAGCCUGUGUGGUCUGUAUGUGUGAGGGAGAGUCGUGUGUGUGUAUGAGAGUUGUGUGCGGGUGGCAUAGGUGUCUGUGUGUGUGUGCAAGUGUGUGUGAAAGUUAGGUGUGAGGGGCUGCGUGUGUGUGUGACAGGUGUGAGAGGGGGCUGCAUGUAAGUGUGAGAGUUAGGUGUAGAGGGGCUGCUUGUGAGUGUGCAAGUGUGUGUGAGGGUCAGGUGUGAGGGGGCUGCGUGUGAGUGUGUGUGUAAGGGUCAGGUGUGAGGGGGGCUGCGUGUGAGUGUGUGUGCGAAGGCUUUUAGGCGCCUUUGGCGCUUGCUUGUGCCGAGUUGAGGAUGGAACAGUUUGCAGAGCAUGCACGCUAGGAGGCGUUAGGGGAUGCCUGACAAGCAUUUAUUCAUUCAGUCAUUCAGCAAAUACGUAUUUGGGGUCUAGUCUGUGCUGGGUUUUGCGCCAUGCAGUGGGGACAUCGCUGGUUACUGCACACCUUCUUUGCGGUUCUUCUCCGUGGCCCGCCUGGCUCCAUUCCUAGCCUGCUUGGAGCCCUGGAGGCUGACCCUGCCAGCUGUGCCCCCAGGCUCCCUGUCACUGUCUUCUGGUUGAGUCGGGUCUGUCGAGGGCUCUGGCAGGAGACCAAAGGGCAAAGGGAGAGGGAGGUUCACAUCUUGGGCAGCAGCUGGGCCCCUCCACAACUGCGGUUCCUGCCCCUCUUCUGAGUCUCCAGUAACACUAUCUCCUCCCCUUGCUCCUUCAGCUGAGUGAGGGGCCCCCACUUGGUAUUUCUGGGAGCCCCAGCAUCCAGAAUGGUUCUUUCAUUACAUGAUCUUCAUUUGCACAGUCUGGGGUGAACUCUUUUUUCUGCUGCAUCCUUGCGGACACACCUAGCAACGCGCUUAUCAUUGGUUGUUCAAUUAGGCUUGAGUGUCUUUCUUGGGAUGAAUUCCCAGCCUCCCCUUCCCCUUCCUCUUCCCCUUCCCCUUCCCCUUCCCCUUCUCCUUCCCCUUCCCUCCCCUCCCCUCCCUUCGUUUCUUUUCUGCCGUAAAAGGAGCAAAUCAGCAGACUGGAGACUCUGAGGUUUGCUUUAAUUCUGAAAAUUCUAGAUUUGGCUUUCUAUUCUCUUGCCUGCUCUGGGAUGGGGGCUCUGCUCUUGGUGGUUCCAGAAUGCUCUUUACUUUGGGGAGGAGGAGGGGGAAGAUCAACAUCUGCAUCCAGCUGUGCCCUGCCAGGGGCACCCGCGGGCAGCUGUCAGCAGCCUGGCAGUUCCUCCUUCGGAACCAUUUUGCCUCCCCCAGCCUCCUCCCACUAUAUUCAGCUGCUUUCUGCAUCAUCCCCUUGGCACCCCCCCACCCCCGACUGCCAGAGGGCCAAAAGGAGCCUUCUAGUUCAUUGUGUUAUGCGGUAGAUAUGUGUAGAGCACCGCUCUGUGCCUGGCCCUGCUCUGAACACUGAGGAUCCAGCAGUGAGCACGGCCAGCAGUGGCCCUGCCUUCAUGGAGCUCGUACUCUGGUGGGAAGAGAGAGACAAUAAACAAAGAAAUGCACAAUCGUAAUAGAUCAGGUGGUGGUGCGUGCCUAGAUGAAAAAUGAAACAGGUGGCUGGGCACGGUAUCACAUGCCUGUGAACCCAGCACUUUGGAAGGCCGAGGUGGGGAAUCACCUGAGGUCAGGAGUUCAAGACCAGCCUGGCCAACAUGGUGAAACCCCGUCUCUACUAAAAAUACAAAAAUUUUCCAGGCCUGGAGGUGGGCAUCUGUAAUCCCAGCUACUCGGGAGAUUGAGGCAAGAGAAUCACUUGAACCCGGGAGGUGGAGGUUGCAGUGAGCCAAGAUCACGCGACUGCACUCCAGCCUGGGCAACAGAGUGAGACUCUGUCUGGAAAAAAGAAAAAGAAAAAAGAAACAGGUUAAGGAGAUAAACAAUGCUGGCAUGGGGUAUGCGAGCUGUUUCAUACAGGGUGGUCUUGGAGGGCCUACGGAGAAGGUGACAUUUGAGCAGAGACUGGGAGAAGCGAUGGAGGGGCCCACGGAUGUCUGGGAGAGAGUGCACUGGGCAGAGCAGGCUGCAGGUGCAGAGGCCUUGAGCUGGGGGCCUGUGGGGGGAUUGCAGGAAGAGUGACCAGAGGGAGGAUGAGGAGGGCAGUGGCAGGUCAUGAGCUCUCGGAGGCACAGAACAGACCUUGUAAGGCCUCAGAAGCAUGGGGAUCACUUUGGAAUUUAUUCUGAGUGAAAGGGAGGCUUUUGCAGAAAUAGAGAAGUAAUAAAGAUUUCAGGAUCAUUCUGUCUGUUGUAUGGAGGAGGUAGGGGGUGGGCAAGAGCAGAGGCAGAAAACCAGAAAGGGACCAUCCCAAGGACAGUAAGACCUGCCACCCCUGCCAGCACCAGCAUAUCUGCAGCACAGCAUGACAUAACGCAGGGUCCACACGAGGUGUUGGUUGCUGUUCUUGUAAUCAGCAGCGUUGUCAUCACCCCAGCAAUGUGCGAACUUGCGGAAAUUAUUUUUUCUGUCCAAGGUUCAGGUUCUCCAUCCAUAAGCUGAGGGUAAUAAUAUCUACCUUUUAGGGCUGCUGUGGGGAUUUAUGCUGCUCAGGUAUGUAAUGCUCACAGAAAGUGAAUAUGAUAACUAUGAUUCCCAUUUUAAGGAUGAGGAAACUGAGGCUCCACUUAACUGAGGCCAUACCUUGCCCAUCUGAUUCUAAACAUUCAGGCCUAUCAGAAAGGAAUGCCCCCAAAUCUGGGGCUAACAUAGAGAUGUAUCAUGUCUGUGUUUUAUGUUCCUUUGUGGCUAAGGUGAGCUCAAGAUCCUUUUCUUCUAGUCCAGUAGAUUCUAGGUUCUUAACCCCAGUGAUCAAGGAAAGCCCAGAGUCCUACUUCUUUGACCACCACAAGCUCAUCAUUCUAUCCUGUUGGCUCUGAAAUCAGUUAAUCACAUCAAGAGGGACAGAUUCUCCUUCGCUGUGCUCUGUUCCUCACAGAGAGCAUCAUGGAGAUGAAAAGACACUAUAAUAAUGGCAAUUGAUUCUGUAGUUUCUUGAGUCAGACACCAUGCAAAGCGCCUUCUACAUGCUAUCCCAUUUAACCCACAGAACAACCCUAUGAGAUUAAUGUCAUUCUCAUCUGCAUGCUACAGGUGAGGAAAUGGAAGUUUAGGAAGGUUAAAUAGUUUGCCCAAGGUCACGUCCCUAGUGAAGGGCAGAACCAGGUUUGAAUCUAAGAUUUGAUAACUUAGGUGUGUGCUCCCUCCACGGAUCUCCUGUUAAUUCUUCUAUUCCAUGUCCAGCUUGGUCAUGGAAUAUUCAUGCAUGGAAUAAUUAAUUAAUUAGAUGACGAAUUAAUUUAUUUGGCUGAAUGAAUGGCACUGACUUGGAACUACGGGGAGAAUAGAAUAGGUCAGAGAAAGAAUGACUGAUUGGAAUCAGGUGAGUCUGGAAGGAGGCUGGGGCUUCUGGGCUUGCUAUCAAUGUGGUCCUAGGCAAAGUGGCUGGCAGGAUGGAGACCCCCCCAGGAGACGUCCACACCCAAAUACUUGGAACCUGUGAAUGUGUUAUCUUAUGUAGCAGAAAGGACUUUGCAGAUAUAAUUAAGGUUAUGGAUCUUGAAGUGAGAAGACUAUCCUGAUGGGCUCGAUGGAAUCACAUGAGUCCUUACAAGUGGAGACCCUUCCUGCCCAUGGUCAGAGGGAGAGAUGCCACGAGAGAAGAAGAGUCAGAGAGAAAGACUCACCUGGCCAUCGUGGGCUUUGAAAAUGGAGGGAGAGGAGCGUGGGUCAUGGGGUGCAGAUGGCGUGGUUCCCUGGAUCAGGGCUUCGAGUCAGGAAUCACCAGCUUUGGGUCCUCCCAAGCUGCAUUCUGCCAUUGUCACACCUCUCUAGCUGUACACCCAGGGAGAGGCUGCCCACUUUUUCUUUGUGUCGUCGAGGAAGGUUUUUCUUUCCUUUCACCUCUCACUUGCCACGUGACCUGAGCUAAAUGACUUUUUCUGUUUGAGUCCCUUUUCCUUGUCAGCAAAAUAAAGAUGUGCUCUGGACAACCUCUCAGACAUCCUUUAGCUCUAAGAUUCUGUGGGUCUGUGUGUUUCCAAGAAGAAAAAUCAACCCCUAAACAAAAACCAAACUAAAAGCAAAAGGAUUGACAUCACUACCUUAGAAAAAUAAGAGCUAACCUUUACUGUCUAGAAACCAGACCCUGUUCAUUUAACAGCUCAUUUAAUCCCCUAAAAGGUAAGUGCUAUUCUUAUUCCUGGGCACAGAGAGGUGAGGUGUCUAGCCUCAGUCACACAGUGUGAACGUGGCAUGGCUGGGCUUCACCCUUGGUAGUUGUCCUCCACAGACCAUGCUAAUAACCAAGAGCAUUGGACCAUUUCCAUGUUCAUUCCUCCAUCCUUUGGGUUAUCCUGAGUCAUCACCAAGAGCUUACACCCAUCUCUUGCUUACACCCAUCUUGUCUUGGCUUUAACUCUAUUUUCCUAGUAUCAUCAGGUCACACUUUUAUGUUUCCUGGAAAUCCGGAACUGAGCUGGAAGAAUAUUCAGAGAUGCUUAAUACUCAUGUCUUCAUAUUGUUGGAUGAUAUGUGGGUCCCCUAUUCUAAGAGAUUUCAAUCAUAGCUGAUAUUUAUUGAAUACUUACUAUACACUGGGUCCAUCCUUAGAACUUUAUGUGUGUGAUGGACAUAAAGAUGG
Molecule: long non-coding RNA, 7005 nt
Filed under: Homo sapiens (human)
Lineage: Eukaryota; Metazoa; Chordata; Mammalia; Primates; Hominidae
Description: long non-coding RNA NONHSAT216378.1
Source: RNAcentral